UGGGGAAUUUUGGACAAUGGGCGAAAGCCUGAUCCAGCAAUGCCGCGUGUGUGAAGAAGGCCUUCGGGUUGUAAAGCACUUUUGUCCGGAAAGAAAUCCUUGGCUCUAAUACAGUCGGGGGAUGACGGUACCGGAAGAAUAAGCACCGGCUAACUACGUGCCAGCAGCCGCGGUAAUACGUAGGGUACAAGCGUUAAUCGGAAUUACUGGGCGUAAAGCGUGCGCAGGCGGUUUGCUAAGACCGAUGUGAAAUCCCCGGGCUCAACCUGGGAACUGCAUUGGUGACUGGCAGGCUAGAGUAUGGCAGAGGGGGGUAGAAUUCCACGUGUAGCAGUGAAAUGCGUAGAGAUGUGGAGGAAUACCGAUGGCGAAGGCAGCCCCCUGGGCCAAUACUGACGCUCAUGCACGAAAGCGUGGGGAGCAAACAGGAUUAGAUACCCUGGUAGUCCACGCCCUAAACGAUGUCAACUAGUUGUUGGGGAUUCAUUUCCUUAGUAACGUAGCUAACGCGUGAAGUUGACCGCCUGGGGAGUACGGUCGCAAGAUUAAAACUCAAAUGAAUUGACGGGGUCAUAGCUGUUUCCU
This 585-nucleotide ribosomal RNA is filed under the name uncultured bacterium. RNAcentral's name for it is "partial 16S ribosomal RNA". It matches the Rfam family "Bacterial small subunit ribosomal RNA", at positions 355 to 1375 of the family's 1533-position model. The record is from RNAcentral.